AUUGAACGCUGGCGGAAUGCUUUACACAUGCAAGUCGAACGGCAGCACGGACUUCGGUCUGGUGGCGAGUGGCGAACGGGUGAGUAAUGUAUCGGAACGUGCCCAGUCGUGGGGGAUAACGUAGUGAAAUUACGCUAAUAACGCAUACGAUCUAUGGAUGAACGCGGGGGAUCGCAAGACCUCGCGCGAUUGGAGCGGCCGAUAUCAGAUUAGGUAGUUGGUGGGGUAAAGGCCCACCAAGCCAACGAUCUGUAGCUGGUCUGAGAGGACGACCAGCCACACUGGAACUGAGACACGGUCCAGACUCCUACGGGAGGCAGCAGUGGGGAAUUUUGGACAAUGGGCGAAAGCCUGAUCCAGCCAUUCCGCGUGCAGGAUGAAGGCCCUCGGGUUGUAAACUGCUUUUGUACAGAACGAAAAGGUUUCUACUAAUACUAGGAGCUCAUGACGGUACUGUAAGAAUAAGCACCGGCUAACUACGUGCCAGCCGCCGCAGUAA
Molecule: ribosomal RNA, 499 nt
Filed under: uncultured bacterium
Lineage: Bacteria
Description: partial 16S ribosomal RNA
Rfam family: Bacterial small subunit ribosomal RNA
Source: RNAcentral